Cebus imitator (Panamanian white-faced capuchin) is the source of this 1054-nucleotide long non-coding RNA. RefSeq lists it as uncharacterized. The transcript has 3 exons. NCBI's taxonomy places the organism in Eukaryota, Metazoa, Chordata, Mammalia, Primates, Cebidae. The record is from RefSeq and is a predicted model, not a curated record.
AGGUGGACUUCCUCCUGGCCUUCUUAAAUUCUUCAGGAGACCAGUCUCGAAAUUUCCUGGCUUGGUGGUAAAGAAGAGCCUCCUUGAGAGACCACAGGGAAGCGAGGCCCUCUCAUGGAUCCAAGGACCACACAUUCCUCCCCACACUGCCACGAAGUCACCGGCCAUGCUCCCAACCCAGGCACCAGUGUCCAUGUGAGAGAGGGGCAAGGCGGCGGCGGCCGGGAGAAGCCACGUUUUACCUGAUGACUAAGUGGCCAGGUGACUCCACUCUGGCCAGGGAACCAUGGGCCGAGGCCCUCGGGGACUCUCUGGGGCAGUGGUGCCUCCUUUCUCCUCAGGGCUUCUUUACAGAGCUGUGCUUGAGAAUGGAACGCAGCUGUGAUAAUUAUCUGAGGUUCAGCUCUUCCAGAAUGUCCUUAUCUCCUAAGGCCUCCGAGAUAAGCAGGAACCGCGGUGUCUGCCUUGCCUCCAAGCCUUUACCCUUGCUUAUCUCAGUGGAAAAUUCCAGCAGAGAUCUCUGAAUACCAGGUUAAAUUCCUGCACUCAACAAUCAGUUUGGCACGUGGCUGCCCGCCAGACUGGGCAGAGUAGAGGGGAGCCAAGGGAAUAAACCCAAAUCCCACCCCCAGGUGUCCAGAGCCUGGUGGGGAUGGGACAGUUGCCUGCAGAGCAAGAGGCUGCCGCCCAGGUUCCUACAAGCCUGAGAGCCUGACCUACAUACCCAGAGGAAGGGGAAUAACCCAGAGGACCUCUCCCAGGACGAAAUGCUGGCACAGGCAUGAGAAGCCCACGUGGCGGCCAAGAGGAGGGAGGGUCUCCCGGGCCCCAGAAGCACAAUGCCAGGGUCAGACGUACUGGGAGGCACGGGGCCGGGGACACUGUCAGUGGGCACAGGCUCUGGGCGGGCUGCAAGAGGGGUGAGGGUGGAGAGGCAGCCAAGCCGGGUUGUGGGAGGCCCUGCCUAAUUCUGUAGACACUAAGAUUAGAAACAACAAAAAUGGGCAGGGUACGGUGGCUCACACCUGUAAUCCCAGCACUCUGGGAGGCUGAG